RNAcentral lists this unclassified non-coding RNA (423 nucleotides) under soil metagenome. RNAcentral describes it as "partial contains 5.8S ribosomal RNA, internal transcribed spacer 2, and large subunit ribosomal RNA". The stretch from base 1 to 120 matches the Rfam family "5.8S ribosomal RNA", at positions 35 to 154 of the family's 154-position model. The record is from RNAcentral.
GAUGAAGAACGCAGCGAAACGCGAUAGGUAAUGUGAAUUGCAGAAUUCCGUGAAUCAUCGAAUCUUUGAACGCACAUUGCGCCUUCUGGUAUUCCGGUAGGCAUAUCUGUUUGAGCGUCAGCGAAACAACCCCCUCGGACCGGUCUGGCGGAAACGUCGGGCCGGGCGCCGGCUAUGGGUGUGGAGCGGUUGUGCCGAAACGGCCGGCCCUUCCGCCUUAAAUAAGCUGCGCGACCGCGAGCCUCCUCUGGCCUCGGGGAUAAUAUCGGAGUGGUGUUUACAUGUCUUCCGAAUCCUCGCAGAUACCGGCUAAUGCGGCGUUAAACUCUAUGUCAACGACCCACUUGCUGGGCUGUGACUGUGGUUUGACCUCAAAUCAGAUAAGAAUACCCGCUGAACUUAAGCAUAUCAAUAAGCGGAGGA